RNAcentral lists this ribosomal RNA (97 nucleotides) under uncultured bacterium. RNAcentral describes it as "partial 16S ribosomal RNA". It matches the Rfam family "Bacterial small subunit ribosomal RNA", at positions 1386 to 1482 of the family's 1533-position model. The record is from RNAcentral.
CACACCGCCCGUCACACCAUGGGAGUUGGUUUGACCUGAAGACGGUGCGCUAACCGCAAGGAGGCAGCCGGCCACGGCCAGGUCAGCGACUGGGGUG